CAGGGGCGGGGCCGGCGACCAGCCGCCGCUGAGCGCAUUUCCACCGCAGCGAUGUGCCGCGACCGGCUCCGGCCCGGUGUGGAGAAGGUAACUCGGGGGCGGCGUCACCCGUGGACGCCGAGUCACCCCGUCCCGAGUGUUACAGCCCCCCCGACAGCGCUGGAGGGACCGGCAGCCCCCGCCGCGCCUCCGAACAGCUUCUACAGCGGAAACGGCGACCCCGAAGGUAGGGAACACCUACGUCUCUAUCGCCAGUUGCUCUUAGCGGGUCUCCGAGGGGCUCUAGACCCCCUACCGAUUCGGCUCAGGUUACCAGGAAAAGACGCCAGCAGCGUUUUUUUUUUUAAAAAAAAAAAAGACUUAGAGAGACACGGAGGGAAAAAAAAACAAAAAACAAAAAAAAAAAAAGAGUCCUGGCCACUGUAAUGUCUCAGGGACAGGUCAGAGAGGGAGUUAGGACAAAAAAUCAAAAAAAAAAAAAACACUGCUUGACAAAAACCAGUGUGCUUACUGUAAACAGAGAGGACAUUGGGCUCGUGACUGAUCAAAAAAAGCUCAAGGGUCUCGGAGACCUAAGCCAAGGGUCCUCAAUCUGGAGGAUUGGGGAGGUCACGGCCAGGAGCCCCCCCCCCCCGGCCUAGGAUAACUCUCAAGAUUGGGGGGCAGCCAGUGACCUUCCUAGUGGACACCGGGGCUCAACAUUCAGUCCUGACCCAUACCGGAGGCUCUCUCAGUGACCGCACAGCUUUGGUCCAGGGGGCCACAGGUAUCGAAGGACCACCAAAAAAAAGGUUCAGCUGGCAUCUGGACAGGACCCAAAGGGACCCCCCUACAAGUUCUAGCCCUUUAAACUGUUCGUGGACGAGAACUCAGGCUUUACAAAAAAAAAUGUUGGUACAGAGACUGGGGCCAUAAAAGCCCGGUAGCUGCAGGAUGGCCCGCCCCCCUGUCUGCGCGUGGUAGCCGCCAUUGCUGUUUUGCUCAAGGAUGCAGGGAAACUAACUUUGGGACAGCCAUUAACUGUGUUAUCCUCCCAUGCGGUGAAAGCUCUGGUCCAGCAGCCCCCAGAUCAAAUGAUGUUCAGACCAGUUGUCUCCCUCAACCCCGCAACCCUACUGCCUGGUUCACGGAUGGGAGCAGCUUCCUCCAAGAAGGAAAACAGAGGGCCGGAGCAGCCGUCACCACCGAAUCGGAGAUAGUUUGGAUCUCACCACUGCCACCUGGAACAUCGGCCCAAAAGACAGAGCUGAUCGCGCUGAUCCAGGCCCUCCAGAUGAUAAAAGCCUGGAGGACCAGGAACUAACAAAAAAAAUGGGGGUAAAAUAAAGCCCCGAGCGACAAGCUUACAUCAUAGAUGGACAGAGGCCUUGCCUACCAAAAAAAAAAAAAAAAAGACCACUAACGUGGUAACCAAAAAACUCCUAGAUGACAUCUUUCCCAGGUAUGGAAUACCCCAGAUAUUGGGGUUAGACAAUGGGCCCGCCUUUGUCUCCCAGCCCUCCAAUUGAUACAAAAGACGGUGUAAAAACCCCUGCCUGCCGGGAACAACUGAACCGCCCGGUGGUGCCUCACCCAUUCAAGAUUGGGGACUCUGUCUGGGUCCGACGCCAUCAAUCCAGGAACCUAGAGCCGAGGUUGACGAGAUAGCGGCUUGGGUCCACGCGUCACAUAUAAAGGCUGCCAAGGAACCCGACGAAGCUGAGGGCACCGAGACAUCUAGUUCAACGCUCUCCAAACCCACUAAAGAUAAGACUCACCCGGGGGUCCCCUUGAUCCCCCUAAUAGUCCUCCUGACAUUAGGAGGGACAUCACCAGAGAGCCUGUUUCCCUGACGCUGACCCUGUUACUGG
Non-coding RNA from Peromyscus maniculatus bairdii (prairie deer mouse), 1850 nucleotides. NCBI's taxonomy places the organism in Eukaryota, Metazoa, Chordata, Mammalia, Rodentia, Cricetidae. The record is from RefSeq and is a predicted model, not a curated record.